RNAcentral lists this non-coding RNA (23 nucleotides) under Drosophila melanogaster (fruit fly). Lineage: Eukaryota; Metazoa; Arthropoda; Insecta; Diptera; Drosophilidae. The record is from RNAcentral.
UGAGUGAGAUAAUUCUGUCGUGA